This 468-nucleotide ribosomal RNA is filed under the name uncultured soil bacterium. Its description in RNAcentral is "bacterial SSU rRNA". It matches the Rfam family "Bacterial small subunit ribosomal RNA", at positions 26 to 511 of the family's 1533-position model. The record is from RNAcentral.
AGGACGAACGCUGGCGGCGUGCUUAACACAUGCAAGUCGAGCGAGGCCCACCUUUCGGGGUGGUGUCCUAGCGGCGAACGGGUGAGUAACACGUGGGCAACCUGCCCUCAGCUCUGGGAUAACUCCAAGAAAUUGGGGCUAAUACCGGAUAUGACUGCUGACCGCAUGGUCUGGUGGUGGAAAGAUUUAUCGGCUGGGGGAUGGGCCCGCGGCCUAUCAGCUUUGGUUGGUGGGGUAGUGGCCUACCAAGGCGACGACGGUAGCCGGCCUGAGAGGGUGACCGGCCACACUAGGACUGAGACACGGCCCAGACUCCUACGGGAGGCAGCAGUGGGGAAUAUUGCGCAAUGGGCGAAAGCCUGACGCAGCGACGCCGCGUGGGGAUGACGGCCUUCGGGUGUAAACCGUCUUUCAGUCAGGACGAAGCGAAGUGACGUACUGCAGAAGAGCACCGCCACUACGUGCCAG